UAUAGAGGUCUCAAGCGUUGUUCGGAUUCAUUGGGCGUAAAGGGUGCGUAGGCGGCGCGGUAAGUCGGGUGUGAAAUCUCGGAGCUUAACUCCGAAACUGCAUUCGAUACUGCCGUGCUUGAGGACUGGAGAGGAGACUGGAAUUUACGGUGUAGCGGUGAAAUGCGUAGAUAUCGUAAGGAAGACCAGUGGCGAAGGCGGGUCUCUGGACAGUUCCUGACGCUGAGGCACGAAGGCCAGGGGAGCAAACGGG
RNAcentral lists this ribosomal RNA (253 nucleotides) under uncultured bacterium. RNAcentral describes it as "partial 16S ribosomal RNA". It matches the Rfam family "Bacterial small subunit ribosomal RNA", at positions 524 to 776 of the family's 1533-position model. The record is from RNAcentral.